Molecule: unclassified non-coding RNA, 163 nt
Filed under: uncultured fungus
Lineage: Eukaryota; Fungi
Description: sequence contains ITS1
Source: RNAcentral
UUGAAUUCCAACGUAAAGGGUUGUUGCUGGCAUAACUUGCAUGUGCACGCCCGAUACACUCACACCUGUGCACCUACUGACUGAAGCCCUUCACCGGAGGGUGGACGUCCUUACUACACACACUUUUUAAAUACUUGUUUGAUAUUAUAAAAAUAUUAAAUGA